Molecule: ribosomal RNA, 743 nt
Filed under: Bacillus sp. (in: firmicutes)
Lineage: Bacteria; Bacillati; Bacillota; Bacilli; Caryophanales; Bacillaceae
Description: bacterial SSU rRNA
Rfam family: Bacterial small subunit ribosomal RNA
Source: RNAcentral
GGUUCAGACAUAAAAGGUGGCUUCGGCUACCACUUACAGAUGGACCCGCGGCGCAUUAGCUAGUUGGUGAGGUAACGGCUCACCAAGGCGACGAUGCGUAGCCCACCUGAGAGGGUGAUCGGCCACACUGGGACUGAAACACCGCCCAAACUCCUACGGGAGGCAGCAGUAAGGAAUCUUCCGCAAUGGACGAAAGUCUGACGGAACCACCCCGCGUGAGUGAUGAAGGGUUUCCGAACGUAAAGCUCUGUUGUUAAGGAAGAACAAGUGGCGUUCAAAUAGGGCGGCACCUUGACGGUACCUAACCAGAAAGCCACGGCUAACUACGUGCCAGCAGCCGCGGUAAUACGUAGGUGGCAAGCGUUGUCCGGAAUUAUUGGGCGUAAAGGGCUCGCAGGCGGUUUCUUAAGUCUGAUGUGAAAGCCCCCGGCUCAACCGGGGAGGGUCAUUGGAAACUGGGGAACUUGAGUGCAGAAGAGGAGAGUGGAAUUCCACGUGUAGCGGUGAAAUGCGUAGAGAUGUGGAGGAACACCAGUGGCGAAGGCGACUCUCUGGUCUGUAACUGACGCUGAUGAGCGAAAGCGUGGGGAGCGAACAGGAUUAGAUACCCUGGUAGUCCACGCCGUAAACGAUGAGUGCUAAGUGUUAGGGGGGUUCCGCCCCCUAGUGCUGCAGCUAACGCAUUAAGCACUCCGCCUGGGGAGUACGACCGCCAGACUGAAACUCACAGGAAUUGACGGGGG